Anguilla anguilla (European eel) is the source of this 3409-nucleotide long non-coding RNA. RefSeq lists it as uncharacterized. The transcript is spliced from 4 exons. The record is from RefSeq and is a predicted model, not a curated record. NCBI's taxonomy places the organism in Eukaryota, Metazoa, Chordata, Actinopteri, Anguilliformes, Anguillidae.
UGAGGUAAUGCUUAAUAGAGUAAGAACUGGGGGCGUCUUUGUGUUUAUGCGUGUGGGGUUUGUCCCGGUGUGUUUGAGGUGGUGUAGGUCUUAAUAUCCGUGCAAGACAGUUCUGCGGAAAUCUGCAACUUUAUUUGGAUGGCACGUACGACUGCAAUUUUUGUGAUAACACUGGCUCUUUAGCUCGAUCACCACGGUUGAGUACAUUCAUAAUUAUAUGAUCGACAAAUACCGAAUUUUCUAAAUAGUCGGCUACCGCUGUUGUUGGAAAUUAAUUUUGAAAUGUUCGUGGGUGUGGUGUGUUUUCCGUCCUGUCGGUCGUGGUUCGUUAAGCGGGGGAUUUGGUCAAUUGAUCAUAUUGUUACGAUUCGAUUUGCGCUCCGGGUGAACGGCUGUGGUCCCACAUAGGAACCGCGUAGGCUACCUUAUUUAUAGGCUACCUAUUAACUCCGCUGAGGGCGGCUGGGCGGGAAUGAGUGGGAGACUGCUGUCGGCGUUGGACCGGUCAAUGAAACUCUGGGAGAGAUCAAGGCAAGGGGAGGGACAAAAAAGAAUGGUGCAAACACCCAAACACCGGCUAUCUCCAGAUCCUGUCAGUGCUGCCUGAAGGUUCUGGAACUUGAACUGGGUGCUGUGGACUCCAGUGUAGUAGACAACAUUGCCGCUGAUGUAGAGGUCGAUGGUACGAGAGGAGCUGCUCAGGUUAGUCAGGUGCAGGGUGACCUUGAAGCCUUCGUACACGAGCGCGGGUGACACUUCGACCUUCAGCUCCACGUCUGAGGGAGGGGCGUAUGGCCCUUUGCGCCUGCACCCGUACUGCUCGGCGUUCUUCACAGUCAUUUCCGACUCCACUGUGCCUGUGCGGGGGCCGGACCGUUCAGACAGAUGAAGGGCCACACCUAUACAUCCCUGUGGACAAAGAAGGAAGCUAUUCAGAAACUAAUUUAAUGCACAACUCCACAUAAAUCCUGAAUAAGCAACUUUGAUGUCCACUAUUUUCUUCAUUACACAUUUGCAGAAGGAUGAUUAAAUACACAUCACACAGGAUCUGCAUGUGACAACCCAAAAUUGGCCACAGUGUCACCCUGGGAAGGAUCAGUGAAGAGGAGGAAGCAUUUCUGAUGCUGAGAUGAGAGGCAGGAGGAGUAGAGUAAGGGACACCAUACAACUAACCCUUGCCUUCUCAUUUCUAAGUGACUCUUUUGGUCAAUCAAAUGUUUGUGAUCAUUUGCAGUCAUUCGGUGCAGUUUCUAUGGAAAUUCAGCUGCCACGGAAGAGAAUUGUCUGACGACACUCAUUUCAAAUGUUGCAUGUGGUAGUGUGUACCUCUUCUGCAUUGGACAAGGAUUUGGCAGGGAUGGGAUGGGCAAAGGAGUAUGACUGAACAUUCUGCACACCCAGAUUAUAUGAACAGGAUGCAGUAUCAAAAUGAAUCAAAAUACGUAACAAAUCUUAAUCAAUGAAUGGAGCUGACUUACCAUCACUGGUCUCCUGGGGGGUGGAAUCCACUACUUGCCAACCACCUAAGCCAUUAGGCAGGUCAUUUCUGUCCAUGUAACACUCAUUCCAGCAGUGGUAGUUCCUGUCAAGGUAGCAUCCAAGGCUCAAAAUUUGAUCAUCAGAAAAGUGAAGAAAACUUCCAGUUUAAGAUGACCACAGGGCUAGAAGACCUUGAAGCUAUAUGCAUUUAUCAAUCAGGUUGAACAAUGAAGCAAGUUUUACAUUUUCUUUCUAAUACAUUUCUUACCAUUAAUCCUUCAAAUUUCAUUCAAAAGUCAGCUGUGGUUUUACAUUCAGUUUAUUUUAAUGAAAGUGUUAUCUUUGCUUGGAGGACAUAUCUCUCUAUUUUGGUCCAUAAAUAUUUUUUAGCACUUUGUUCAUGAGUAAUUUUUAUUGCUUCAUCUUGCUAGACAUACAUGAGUAUAUUCAGGACUCAAACACACACCUGAAAGUGGUAAUGUAGCAAGAGAAAUUCUAAAUCUCUACUUAAACUAUUAUAUUUUUAUCACUGUUGAUGGUAUCCACUAUCUGGUUUCCAUGAACACAUUUUUGCUCAUUUAAAAAAUGUUAUUUAGCUAAAGCUGGUGAAAUGAUUAAUACAAUAAAGGCAUACCAAAGGGAAUCCCUGGUUCUUGCUCGAUCAAAUUCAUAUGUACGUGUGAGAAUGAUGUCAGUUUUUAAAUUGCCAUCAUUGUCAUGAGCAGAUCGAUAGUUGGUGAUGACCCUGGCUGGGAUUCCCAAACAGCGCAGAACUACAGCAGAGACCCAAAAAACACAGAAUUAGAUACAUUCAGGUACAAAAACAGUCAUUCUUUUUAUGCUAUAUAUUGACAUUCCCACAACAUUGCAUAUAUAUACUAGUUAUUUCUAUCUAUUGACAUGCAUACACUGGAAAUGACAACAUUUUAAAGAGCUAUUGCAAAGGGACAGUCCCUCAUCUGCUGUGUAACUUCAGUCUUCCUCUUGUUGAUUACUAUUACUACAAGAGGAAUUACUGAAUUUACAUGGUUGUCAGAGGAAUUGUAAAUCAAUUUCCCCUUGAAUCUUUUUAGUGCAUUUCUAAUUAAUUUUUGAUUAAUAUCUGGAAUGGAGAUAUAUGGAUUCUUUACGUGCUGUAUACAUCUAUUACAACAUUGUCAAUAUUGAAAUUACUAGACAGGCCUCGUUGCUUGAAAUUCAAGUCUAGAAGGACAUUGGGCACAUUGCCCUGAAUUAAAUCAACAUUCAUCCUUAGAAAAUAAAUGUAAGUGUUUUUAUUUUUUAUGGGCAUAGAUUCAGCAAAUAGUUUGGCAGAUAACCCAUCAAACUGUGUCUGUGAAGAAAAGAGAAAGUCAUGCUUAAGGAGAGAUACUGACUGAAUCUAUGCCCCUGUGUAAUAUCCUUCCCUGGGCCUUCAAAUAGUUGCAUGUGGUGUUGUAGUAACAUACCUGUGGUUUCACCCCAUUUGUAAGUUAGUUUCAAAUAUUUACAUGAUUUAAAAAACAUAUUUGGUCAGGGGCUUUAAAACAUAAAGUUGUGCUAGUCCUAGCUAUAAAUCUGAUUUUAUGAAGCCACAAGAGAACUUUAAUAACAUUAAUUAAGGAUCACAUUAGUUCAGGCAGGCCAAGAGAGACAAGCCCAGCUCUGGCUGAAUCAGCUGGUGGCUUGGGUGUGUAGUGAUAUUCAGCUAUCACGGUCCAUUCACAUAACAGGGCGGUUUAUUUGAAUGGCCUCUCCCUACUAAUUUGGCUGCUUCCUCCUGCAAGCAUGCUUGCUGUACGCUGGCAGUCUAAAUCCCCUCUUCCACUCCAGCUCUAUCCCUCAUGUUGCUGCUGGAUCUGCUCUGGUUGUACCACUGCUCCGGGACAGAGCCAGGCCACCAAGCAUAACUAUUGCCAUUUAAGACUUUUAAUAAAGAUUCUAACUUUGA